Molecule: long non-coding RNA, 1161 nt
Filed under: Salmo trutta (river trout)
Lineage: Eukaryota; Metazoa; Chordata; Actinopteri; Salmoniformes; Salmonidae
Description: lncRNA (ENSSTUG00000032208.1)
Source: RNAcentral
AUGCUGAGAUGGAGAAGGUUCUGUCGCCACUCCCACAUCAUUGAGCAGCUGUAUCCCUUCUACAAGGCCCAGGUAUCAAACCUGGUCAGUGAGUAUGAGGAUGCUGUCCAGCGGGCCAGGAGACUGGCUGUGUCCAGGGAGAAGGUCCUGACAGGGCGGGGCAACCCCAUCAACACGGUCACCCAGGAAGAUGUGACCAUCUACCUCACCUGGCUGGUCUGUCACCUACAUGCCUCCAAGACCAUCCACCACUUCCUGACAGUAAGGCCAUCAGAGAGACUAUGGGCGAUGUUUUUAUAGCGCAAAAGUAAUGUGUUAAGUGCAAAAUUGACCGUAAACCUCAUUGUAAUCUGGCACUGUGAAAUAAUUUUAACAAUGUGCAUUAUAAGGAGGAGAUUAAGCAAUAUUUCUUUGUUGAAAUGCACAUUGUUGAAAAAAGUUUCAAAUUAAAUCUCGUUGCCAGAUUACAAUGAGGUUUAUGGUACAAUUUUCACUUAACACAUUGCUUUUUCACUACGUUGCCCUAUAAGUAUGUCCCAAAUCGAAACUUUUUCCCUAUAUAGUGCACUACUUUUGACCAAGGCUUAUAGGACUCUGGUCAAAAGUAGUGCUCCAUAUAGGGAAGAAGGUACCAUUCAGGGUGCAUCCUAUGGCUGCAUCGCAAUGGUCUAAAGUGGCUUCCUCUACUCGUCUCCUCUCCUUCAUUGCCAUGUAGCUGAAAUCAAAGGCUAGUUUAGAUUAGAGCAGAUAAAUAAAAAGAGACAAGGAGAGGAAGUCACUUUAGACUACUGAGAUGCACCCCAAAGCUUAGUUGACUUUUGGGAUGGGUGGAUGAAUACCUUCUAAUAGAUUUAUUUAGAAAUAAGACAGUUUGUUACCUCACACUAUAUGAUGGGUUACAGGUGAUCCACUACAUCCCAGCCUCUGAGAAGAGGGAUAAAGAUUCUUCUGAGUUAUUAAGGAAGUCCCAAUCAAGUUCCCCAGUGCUGGUUGAAUCUGUCCACACAUCUUCAGAAGAUAAAGACCAAGUCUUGGCUGGGCUUGAGGGUAACACUAACAUUGACUGCUACCUUAUUGUACCUCUACAUUUAAAUGUCUUACUUGAACCGGAUAUAACAAUACAUGUGGGUACAAAAGAGAUUCAUUCAUGCUCAUGAUCGU